This 441-nucleotide ribosomal RNA is filed under the name uncultured bacterium. Its description in RNAcentral is "bacterial SSU rRNA". It matches the Rfam family "Bacterial small subunit ribosomal RNA", at positions 28 to 449 of the family's 1533-position model. The record is from RNAcentral.
GAUGAACGCUGGCGGCGUGCUUAACACAUGCAAGUCGAACGAAGCACUUUAUUUGAUUUCCUUCGGGAUUGAUUAUUUUGUGACUGAGUGGCGGACGGGUGAGUAACGCGUGGGUAACCUGCCUUGUACAGGGGGAUAACAGUUGGAAACGGCUGCUAAUACCGCAUAAGCGCACAGCAUCGCAUGAUGCAGUGUGAAAAACUCCGGUGGUAUAAGAUGGACCCGCGUUGGAUUAGCUAGUUGGUGAGGUAACGGCCCACCAAGGCGACGAUCCAUAGCCGACCUGAGAGGGUGACCGGCCACAUUGGGACUGAGACACGGCCCAAACUCCUACGGGAGGCAGCAGUGGGGAAUAUUGCACAAUGGGCGAAAGCCUGAUGCAGCGACGCCGCGUGAGCGAAGAAGUAUUUCGGUAUGUAAAGCUCUAUCAGCAGGGAAGAU